RNAcentral lists this ribosomal RNA (607 nucleotides) under uncultured bacterium. RNAcentral's name for it is "bacterial SSU rRNA". It matches the Rfam family "Archaeal small subunit ribosomal RNA", at positions 455 to 1056 of the family's 1478-position model. The record is from RNAcentral.
GUGCCAGCAGCCGCGGUAAUACCGGUGGCUCGAGUGGUGGCCGCUAUUAUUGGGUCUAAAGGGUCGUACCCGCUGAUAGUACCUGGGAAAAUCCCGGUGGCCUAAACCAUCGGGCGGGCCAGUGUAAAUAACUAAUCAGGGCUCGGGACUAGGAGAGACCAGAAGGUACUCAUGAGGUAGGAGUGAAAUCCUGUAAUCUUAUGAGGACCACCAGUGGUGAAGACGUCUGGUUAGAAUAGGUCCGACGGUGAGGGACGAAGGCUGGGGGCGCAAACCGGAUUAGAUACCCGGGUAGUCCCAGCAGUAAGCGAUGCCAGCUAUGUGUUGCUGGAACCAUGGGUUCCAGCAGUGCCGAAGGGAAGCCGUGAAGCUGGCCACCUGGGAAGUACGGUCGCAAGGCUGAAACUUAAAGGAAUUGGCGGGGGAGUACCACAACCGGUGGAGCCUGCGGUUUAAUUGGAUACAACGCCGGGAAUCUUACCGGAGGGGACAGCAGUAUGAAGGCCAGGCUAAAGACCUUGCCAGAUCAGCUGAGAGGAGGUGCAUGGCCGUCGCCAGUUCGUACCGUGAGGCAUCCUGUUUAGUCAGGCAACGAUCGAGACCCGCA